Molecule: ribosomal RNA, 429 nt
Filed under: uncultured bacterium
Lineage: Bacteria
Description: bacterial SSU rRNA
Rfam family: Bacterial small subunit ribosomal RNA
Source: RNAcentral
UGGGGAAUAUUGCGCAAUGGGCGGAAGCCUGACGCAGCGACGCCGCGUGGGGGAUGAAGGCCUUCGGGUUGUAAACCCCUUUCAGCAGGGACGAAGCGUGAGUGACGGUACCUGCAGAAGAAGCGCCGGCUAACUACGUGCCAGCAGCCGCGGUAACACGUAGGGCGCGAGCGUUGUCCGGAAUUAUUGGGCGUAAAGAGCUCGUAGGCGGCCUGUUGCGUCCGCUGUGAAAGCCCGGGGCUUAACCCCGGGUCGGCAGUGGAUACGGGCAGGCUAGAGGUAGGUAGGGGAGAAUGGAAUUCCCGGUGUAGCGGUGAAAUGCGCAGAUAUCGGGAGGAACACCGGUGGCGAAGGCGGUUCUCUGGGCCUUACCUGACGCUGAGGAGCGAAAGCGUGGGGAGCGAACAGGAUUAGAUACCCCCGUAGUCC